UUACAGCCUGUUAUGUAAUCUAUGACUGGCAGCUAAUUGGCUUAACUAGGCAUAAGGAAGAUUUGUUUUGGUUGUACCAUGCUUCCCGCUUGCCAAGUUCAACACUAGCCUUUAACAUGUAUUUUUGACUAGUAUGAUUUGGCAUUUGUGUUCUGUCUAGAUAGAUAAGUUGCUUUAGUUUUGAUUGCUGUAAAAAGCACCUUAUACACUCUGUAAAGUGGUUAGUACUAGGAAAGGCAUCCAGUUGUGGAAAUCAACGAAGCAGAACUCGUUAUAGUCCUUAGGUUUGCCAGCUCGUCAAACUGUCCAACCCAUACCAGCAUUAAAAUGUUGUGAAAUGAGGAUGUUUCUAUGAGCUUGUCCCCUUUUCUGCUAUGUUCACCUGUGGUAGAAUGUGCACAGACACGAGAUAGUUACCUGCAUAAUAUGAAUCUUGUUAUUAGGCACUCUUCAUGUUUGUUUCAUGAGUUACACUCUUGCGUGGCUUAGGACCUGUUGGGAGAGGGUAUUAAUUUUAGCUUAUAUUUUCCUAGAUUGAUUACUUUUACUGUAGCUAAGGGGCUCAGUCUACCCUUGCAAAAAUCUAUUUAACCCCAUAGAUGGGACCCUGACUGAUACUACUGUGACUCCACACUCCCCACAACUUCCAAACUGGACCCUUACCACUAGAUGCUUCACCAUAUCCUAUAUCCUUUUAUUGGUAUUGAAUACCUUUUCAUUAUACUAUAACAGAAAUUCUAAUCUCCAGAAUAAACCUUGUGAUGACACCCCUUACUGUUUGAUAUCUGAGUAUGUCACAACCCUUUGGUUAAAAGCCACUGGUUGUCUAUUUCUGGAUGGCCCUACCUGGGCCAGAUUGAUUUGGUUUGAGCUUAGUAGUAUCUGCUUGACUGCAGAUAUGUCACAACCCUUUGGUUAAAAGCCACUGGUUGUCUAUU
Long non-coding RNA from Octopus sinensis (East Asian common octopus), 938 nucleotides. RefSeq lists it as uncharacterized. Lineage: Eukaryota; Metazoa; Mollusca; Cephalopoda; Octopoda; Octopodidae. The record is from RefSeq and is a predicted model, not a curated record. The transcript is spliced from 3 exons.